GAUCAUGGCUCAGGAUGAACGCUAGCUACAGGCUUAACACAUGCAAGUCGAGGGGAAACGACAUCGAAAGCUUGCUUUUGAAGGGCGUCGACCGGCGCACGGGUGAGUAACGCGUAUCCAACCUGCCCACCACUUGGGGAUAACCUUGCGAAAGUAAGACUAAUACCCGAUGAUAUCUCUAGAAGACAUCUGAAAGGGAUUUAAAGAUUUAUCGGUGAUGGAUGGGGAUGCGUCUGAUUAGCUUGUUGGCGGGGUAACGGCCCACCGUGGCUACGAUCGGUAGGGGUUCUGAGAGGAAGGUCCCCCACAUUGGAACUGAGACACGGUCCAAACUCCUACGGGAGGCAGCAGUGAGGAAUAUUGGUCAAUGGACGGGAGUCUGAACCAGCCAAGUAGCGUGCAGGAUGACGGCCCUAUGGGUUGUAAACUGCUUUUGUGCGGGGAUAAAGUGUGGGACGUGUCCCAUAUUGCAGGUACCGCAUGAAUAAGGACCGGCUAAUUCCGUG
RNAcentral lists this ribosomal RNA (506 nucleotides) under uncultured bacterium. Its description in RNAcentral is "bacterial SSU rRNA". It matches the Rfam family "Bacterial small subunit ribosomal RNA", at positions 15 to 507 of the family's 1533-position model. The record is from RNAcentral.